UCAAAUAAAGACAACAAAAACAAAACAAGAGGAAUAAAGGCAACAAAAUGUGAAUCUAAAAGAUUCAACUCCAAAAAAUCCCUAAAUCCAGCUCCCUCUCCAAGAAUCGAUUCUUCAAGUCCAUCUUAUCCAUCGCCUCUAUCCUGAAUCCAAUAUUCCAGAGCUGCAUCAACAAGCUUGAAGUUGCGAUGAGGAAGAAGUGAGCUUCCAUGGUGACUUUGAGCACAAGCUAUAAAUUUCUGAUCUGUCAUCCUCCCAUAGAGUAGACAGGGAGGUGACCCAGAUUCAUAGUAGCUGAUCAGUGGAUUUACAGGAGCACUCUAUUAUUCCGGAGGUGCUCGAACAUUGCAAAGGCAUGCAAUUUCUUUAGCUAUCUGUUCUCCAUGCUUCUCUCUUUCUCAAAGACCCUAGUAUUUCUUUCCCACCGAAUUGCUGCUAUAAACUCUGCGCAAACCAGUCGAAACAUUUUCGCCUGCAUAGUCUUUCCUUUAGUAACUUGUAGAAUAAUUUGGUAUUGUAGCAGCCAAGAAUGCACUGCUGGCCAUUGAACUUGUAGCCACUGCAUGAGUCUUUACCAUACUGAAUGGGCAAAAGUACACUCAAAGAAAAGAUGAUCUCUAGUAUCAUUGGCACUAUGACACAUUUGACAGGUAGGAUCCAAUUGUAUAUUCCAUUUGCUCAGCCUAUCUGCAGUAAGUAACCUGUUUUGAAUUUGCAACCACAUAAUGAAAAUAGUCUUAGACCUGGCUGCAUUCUAAAACACUAAAUUCCUCCAUGGAACUUUAGGAUAAUCACCAAUCAACUGAAGAUAUCAGUGUUUGAUCAUGCUUCUUGUUGUAAU
Molecule: long non-coding RNA, 841 nt
Organism: Lycium ferocissimum
Lineage: Eukaryota; Viridiplantae; Streptophyta; Magnoliopsida; Solanales; Solanaceae
Exons: 3
Source: RefSeq, a predicted model, not a curated record